Molecule: long non-coding RNA, 2082 nt
Organism: Felis catus (domestic cat)
Lineage: Eukaryota; Metazoa; Chordata; Mammalia; Carnivora; Felidae
Exons: 3
Source: RefSeq, a predicted model, not a curated record
GGCCCCGUGCUGUCAGUGCAAAGCCUGACUCAGGGCUUGAACCCACAAACCAUGAGAUCAUGACCUGAGCCAAAACCAAGAGCCAGACGCUCAACCAACUGAGCCACCCAGGUGCCCCAGAUUAACAGAGGGCCUUAAUUUAAUGUCGUUAAAUAUUAUCAAUCUUUUUCUUUAUAGUUGUGUUUUCUAAUUCUUAAGAAAUCCUUAUCUCAGGGUCAAAAAUCUAUUCUCCCAUUUGUAUGGUGUAAGGUAGGGAUCCAUUUUUAUUGAUUUUUUUCAUUUAUGUUUAAACAUGCAUAACCAUCCGUUACUGCAAAAUUACUUUUUCUCACCAACCUAUGAUGCCAGCUGUUUUACAAAUCAGGUGUUCCUGGAGGAGCACACCUGUCUCUGCACCCUCCCUUCUGUACCAUUAGUCAUUUUUGUAGCCCCGCACCUACACUGCACUAUCUUAAUUACUAUAACUUUAUAGAGAUUGGUAUUUGGAAGAACAAGAACUGCUGACGUUAUUUUUAAUUGUGUUUUGGCUAUUUUUAGCUUUGUCUUUCCAUAAAAUUGUUAGUAUCAGAUGUUCUAAUAUAUUUUUUAAGUUAGAUUCACAAUUCUCAAGAAAGCAUAUGGUAAAAUUAACCCAGCCUGCCUUUCUUCUCCCAGUUUCCUCUUGUAGAAGUGACCACAGUCAAUAGUUUUUUGUGUAUUUUUCUAGAAAUAAUCUUAAGUUGCCAAAGCUUGUGUGUAUAUCACCCCCCUUUUUGUAGUUGGCUAGUUCAUCAGCAGAGUUUAUUUAAAAAGUAAACAAUUUUCAAUGGAAAAAAACUUUCUUAACAGGUCAUGAUUUAUAAAUACCAAAGAGGUAAUAAAUGUUAAAUUUUGUAUAUUUUUAGUCCUAAAUGAAGUAAUUUUGAGUAGUUUCUGAAAUUACAAAAUGUGUUUUAUAAUUUCUGCUAAUUUUGGUGGAAAAGCGACCAAUUUAGCUUCCCCAACGUUCCUAGCAGAGUUCUGGAUGGGUUUGUGUCUCUUCGGUGCUUCAGGGAAUCACGUUAGAGGCACAGAUUGUUUUUCAAAACAGGAACAUCUGGGUCAGGCUGAAAUCCCUCUUUCAGCAAUAGCUGUGACAGAAAUAACACAUCUAGGAUAUUCGUAGAGAGUUAUGAAUUAUAUUUGGGAUUUCCUGUCAACUCCUAUUGUCCUAUUUGUUCUUUCAUUUUCUCCUUCUGUUGAUUUGUUAGUGUUGCCUUUCUCUGUCUUCUGCUCACCCGAGGAAUAGCAACAUACUUACGGGUGUAUCUGCAUCUGAAGCUGGCCAGUAUCUUCUCCGUGGGUCCUGCGUCACAGAGGCCGCAGGUCACUUAGAGCAAUUACCUCUGCCCCCAUCUAGAAAUUCCCUUAGUGUGAGAGUCUGUGGGUGAAGCACAGUUCUUGUUUGUCUGAAAAGCUCUUUAUUUUACCUUGAUUCUUUAAAUAGUGUAUGUUUUUUUUUCUUCCAGGUUUAGAAUCUAGGGGUUGCCAGUAAUUUCUUUCAUCCUGUGAAGCUGUCCUUCCACAGUUUCCUGGCCUCUACUGAUACUGUGAAGUCAGCGGUGUCACUCCCUCUCCUGUGAAGGUAAAGGCAUUGUCCCUUCUCUUGCUGGAUUACAGUGACCGUCCAGACAGUGCUUAGUAAUAGCGGAUGGCUCUCCCUGACACCCGGCUGUGCCACUGACCAAGGCAGCGCAUGGAGCCUACAGAUGUCACACCUCGCGUCAGCUAACCCAGCCCCCGUGUGCACAGGUACCACGCAUCGUACACUUGCUGCACUCAGAGACUGUCACAGAGCACAGCAGUGCAUGACACAAGGGACUUUUUCAUGUCACACAGCUAGCUCACUCGGUGGCAGUCACCUUUAGGCUAAAGCAUCUGGAUUCCAGGGAAUACUCACGUUAGUUGAUGAUGUUGGAAGGCAUUGGAGGAAAACACCAUAGUUAGGACAGUUAAUGGCUUACACACUGUUGGUAAGACUGAUCUCGAACAUGCGCAAACAUUUAUCAUAGUAACAUGGUGUUGGUUAGUGCCACAUUCAAAUAAAAAUAGUUCUAUACAAUA